Myodes glareolus (Bank vole) is the source of this 1218-nucleotide non-coding RNA. The record is from RefSeq and is a predicted model, not a curated record. NCBI's taxonomy places the organism in Eukaryota, Metazoa, Chordata, Mammalia, Rodentia, Cricetidae.
GUGACACUUCAGCGUUCAGCUGACUCGGGUGGCCGUGCAGCCCAGUGCCCAGGAGACUCCUCAGCAAAGCUAAGUGAGAAAUGGGGGCCUUGACAAGAGUCCAAUAACAAGAAGAAAUAGCAUUAUGCUUUUGAUUAAAUUUACUCUUGCAGGACAGUUAAACUGUCUCCGGAUUUAUAGCCUGACUCCUAGCUCCGAUGGAGUCAUCCUCAGAAUCUCCAUCAUGAUGGGUCUUAAGCUUCUCAGAGACAAAUAUCAUGUUUCAGGGUUUAGGGCGAAGUAGCAGCAAACGUCUCCCAUCCCUAAAGCUGGUGAGCCCAAUUUAUGAGCUGGUGAUGGUAGCCGAAGGAAACCCCGAGGACACGUUGAGAAAUGGCUCAUCUAGUUCAUUCAGAUGAUUCUGGAGGCCGUGUUCUGGGGACACACUGACAGAGGGCGAGUGUGCUGACAUUUUGCACAGACUCUCCUGAUCUCAUUACACAUCGUUUCUCUUCUUCACUUUCUUAAGUCACGCCAACUGCAAAUCCAAUUGCUGGGUGUUCUCAGAGAGAUAAUGGCACAGCGUUUGAUGUGUUGGAGGCCUGGAAAACUGAACAGUUGUCGCUGUAGGAACCACAGGAGAAGAUGUGAGAGAUGGGGAGGUACCCAAGCCAAUGGUGUGUGCACUGUGCUGCAUACGAGCAGCCUGCCCAUAGACCCCUCGUGGCCAUGCCUUAGUCUUAGAGCAGAUGCUCUUAGCCUCCCCUGAGGACUGUAACAGCAUGGUGCUCUCUGAGUAUCUAUGGGUCUCUUAAGAGCCAAGAGGUGUACUGACAUUUAAGUAAGUCUCUAAGAGUCCCACAAAUCCACACUUAUACCCACUUCAGGGGCUAGAAAUUCCACCCAGAGACUGACAAGCUAGAGCAACUGCAAAAACUAACCUGGAUCCCGCCCUAUUGUUUCAAAAGAGUUUGGACGCUGGAAACAUGAAGAAGUAGACAAAUAUUUAAAUAAGAGAAGAAAAUGGCUGGAAAGAUGGCUUAGUGGGAAAAGGUGAUUCCUGUGAAGCUUGAUCAAACCUGAAUUCGAUUCCUGGAACCUAUAUGCCAGAAGGAGAGAACCAAAUCCCACAAGUUGCCCUCUGACCUUUGCAUGUAAGCCAUGGCAUGUGAAUGCAUGCACAUGUCUAUACAUAAAUGUGAUAAAAAUAAAAAAUAAAGAGAAGGCGUGAUUGGCUAA